CCUACGGGUGGCAGCAGUGGGGAAUAUUGGACAAUGGGGGCAACCCUGAUCCAGCCAUGCCGCGUGUGUGAAGAAGGCCCUCGGGUUGUAAAGCACUUUCAGUGAGGAAGAACGCCUGGUGGUUAAUACCCAUCAGGAAAGACAUCACUCACAGAAGAAGCACCGGCUAACUCCGUGCCAGCAGCCGCGGUAAUACGGAGGGUGCGAGCGUUAAUCGGAAUUACUGGGCGUAAAGCGCGCGUAGGUGGCUUGAUAAGCCGGUUGUGAAAGCCCCGGGCUCAACCUGGGAACGGCAUCCGGAACUGUCAAGCUAGAGUGCAGGAGAGGAAGGUAGAAUUCCCGGUGUAGCGGUGAAAUGCGUAGAGAUCGGGAGGAAUACCAGUGGCGAAGGCGGCCUUCUGGACUGACACUGAUACUGAGGUGCGAAAGCGUGGGUAGCAAACAGGAUUAGAUACCCUUGUAGUC
RNAcentral lists this ribosomal RNA (465 nucleotides) under Vreelandella stevensii. RNAcentral's name for it is "partial 16S ribosomal RNA". It matches the Rfam family "Bacterial small subunit ribosomal RNA", at positions 338 to 795 of the family's 1533-position model. The record is from RNAcentral. Lineage: Bacteria; Pseudomonadati; Pseudomonadota; Gammaproteobacteria; Oceanospirillales; Halomonadaceae.